CCAGCANCCGCGGUAAUACGUAGGUCCCGAGCGUUGUCCGGAUUUAUUGGGCGUAAAGCGAGCGCAGGCGGUUAGAUAANUCUGAAGUUAAAGGCUGUGGCUUAACCAUAGUACGCUUUGGAAACUGUUUAACUUGAGUGCAGAAGGGGAGAGUGGAAUUCCAUGUGUAGCGGUGAAAUGCGUAGAUAUAUGGAGGAACACCGGUGGCGAAAGCGGCUCUCUGGUCUGUAACUGACGCUGAGGCUCGAAAGCGUGGGGAGCGAACAGGAUUAGAUACCCUGGUAGUCCACGCCGUAAACGAUGAGUGCUAGGUGUUAGGCCCUUUCCGGGGCUUAGUGCCGCAGCUAACGCAUUAAGCACUCCGCCUGGGGAGUACGACCGCAAGGUUGAAACUCAAAGGAAUUGACGGGGGCCCGCACAAGCGGUGGAGCACGUGGUUUAAUUCGAAGCAACGCGAAGAACCUUACCAGGUCUUGACAUCCCGAUGCCCGCUCUAGAGAUAGAGUUUUACUUCGGUACAUCGGUGACAGGUGGUGCAUGGUUGUCGUCAGCUCGUGUCGUGAGAUGUUGGGUUAAGUCCCGCAACGAGCGCAACCCUUAUUGUUAGUUGCCAUCAUUCAGUUGGGCACUCUAGCGAGACUGCCGGUAAUAAACCGGAGGAAGGUGGGGAUGACGUCAAAUCAUCAUGCCCCUUAUGACCUGGGCUACACACGUGCUACAAUGGCUGGUACAACGAGUCGCAAGUCGGUGACGGCAAGCUAAUCUCUUAAAGCCAGUCUCAGUUCGGAUUGUAGGCUGCAACUCGCCUACAUGAAGUCGGAAUCGCUAGUAAUCGCGGAUCAGCACGCCGCGGUGAAUACGUUCCCGGGCCUUGUACACACCGCCCGUCACACCACGAGAGUUUGUAACACCCGAAGUC
This 919-nucleotide ribosomal RNA is filed under the name uncultured bacterium. Its description in RNAcentral is "bacterial SSU rRNA". It matches the Rfam family "Bacterial small subunit ribosomal RNA", at positions 508 to 1428 of the family's 1533-position model. The record is from RNAcentral.